GGGAUGAAGGCCUUCGGGUUGUAAACUGCUUUUUGUACGGAACGAAAAGGCUCUGGUUAAUACCUGGGGCCCAUGACGGUACCGUAAGAAUAAGCACCGGCUAACUACGUGCC
RNAcentral lists this ribosomal RNA (113 nucleotides) under uncultured bacterium. RNAcentral describes it as "partial 16S ribosomal RNA". It matches the Rfam family "Bacterial small subunit ribosomal RNA", at positions 405 to 509 of the family's 1533-position model. The record is from RNAcentral.